CACAAAGGCAAAAUGACGAAACUGACGAAAAUCAACUAGAGGUGGGAAAACAGCGAUGCCAACAUCGAUGUCAAACAUCGAUAUUUUCGAAGAAUCACAAACAUCGGUUUUUUUUCGAGCAAUCAUCGUAUAAAUUGAAAACGGAGGAGAAAAACUAAAACACGUGCGCACGCUAGAAACCCCAAGGGCCAACUGGCGAAUCUGACGAAAAUCGACUAGAGGUGGAGAAAAAUUGAUGCCAACAUCGAUGUCAAACAUCGAUAUUUUCGAAGAAUCACAAACAUCGGUUUGUUUUUUCGAGGAAUCAUCGUAUAAAUUGAAAACGGAGGAGAAAAACUAAAACACGUGCGCACGCUAGAAACCCCAAGGGCCAACUGGCGAAACUGACGAAAAUCGACUAGAGGUGGAGAAAAAUUGAUGCCAACAUCGAUGUCAAACAUCGAUAUUUUCGAAGAAUCACAAACAUCGGUUUGUUUUUUCGAGGAAUCAUCGUAUAAAUUGAAAACGGAGGAGAAAAACUAAAACACGUGCGCACGCUAGAAACCCCAAGGGCCAACUGGCGAAACUGACGAAAAUCGACUAGAGGUGGAGAAAAAUUGAUGCCAACAUCGAUGUCAAACAUCGAUAUUUUCGAAGAAUCACAAACAUCGGUUUGUUUUUUCGAGGAAUCAUCGUAUAAAUUGAAAACGGAGGAGAAAAACUAAAACACGUGCGCACGCUAGAAACCCCAAGGGCCAACUGGCGAAACUGACGAAAAUCGACUAGAGGUGGAGAAAAAUUGAUGCCAACAUCGAUGUCAAACAUCGAUAUUUUCGAAGAAUCACAAACAUCGGUUUGUUUUUUCGAGGAAUCAUCGUAUAAAUUGAAAACGGAGGAGAAAAACUAAAACACGUGCGCACGCUAGAAACCCCAAGGGCCAACUGGCGAAACUGACGAAAAUCGACUAGAGGUGGAGAAAAAUUGAUGCCAACAUCGAUGUCAAACAUCGAUAUUUUCGAAGAAUCACAAACAUCGGUUUGUUUUUUCGAGGAAUCAUCGUAUAAAUUGAAAACGGAGGAGAAAAACUAAAACACGUGCGCACGCUAGAAACCCCAAGGGCCAACUGGCGAAACUGACGAAAAUCGACUAGAGGUGGAGAAAAAUUGAUGCCAACAUCGAUGUCAAACAUCGAUAUUUUCGAAGAAUCACAAACAUCGGUUUGUUUUUUCGAGGAAUCAUCGUAUAAAUUGAAAACGGAGGAGAAAAACUAAAACACGUGCGCACGCUAGAAACCCCAAGGGCCAACUGGCGAAACUGACGAAAAUCGACUAGAGGUGGAGAAAAAUUGAUGUCAAUAUCGAUGUCAAACAUCGAUAUUUUCGAAGAAUCACAAACAUCGGUUUGUUUUUUCGAGGAAUCAUCGUAUAAUUUGAAAACGGAGGAGAAAAACUAAAACACGUGCGCACGCUAGAAACCCCAAGGGCCAACUGGCGAAACUGACGAAAAUCGACUAGAGGUGGAGAAAAAUUGAUGCCAACAUCGAUGUCAAACAUCGAUAUUUUCGAAGAAUCACAAACAUCGGUUUGUUUUUUCGAGGAAUCAUCGUAUAAUUUGAAAACGGAGGAGAAAAACUAAAACACGUGCGCACGCUAGAAACCCCAAGGGCCAACUGGCGAAACUGACGAAAAUCGACUAGAGGUGGAGAAAAAUUGAUGCCAACAUCGAUGUCAAACAUCGAUAUUUUCGAAGAAUCACAAACAUCGGUUUGUUUUUUCGAGGAAUCAUCGUAUAAAUUGAAAACGGAGGAGAAAAACUAAAACACGUGCGCACGCUAGAAACCCCAAGGGCCAACUGGCGAAACUGACGAAAAUCGACUAGAGGUGGAGAAAAAUUGAUGUCAAUAUCGAUGUCAAACAUCGAUAUUUUCGAAGAAUCACAAACAUCGGUUUGUUUUUUCGAGGAAUCAUCGUAUAAUUUGAAAACGGAGGAGAAAAACUAAAACACGUGCGCACGCUAGAAACCCCAAGGGCCAACUGGCGAAACUGACGAAAAUCGACUAGAGGUGGAAAAAAAUUGAUGUCAAUAUCGAUGUCAAACAUCGAUAUUUUCGAAGAAUCACAAACAUCGGUGUUUUUCGAGCAAUCAUCGUAUAAAUUUGGUGUUGGCUGGCGUCGUGAAAGACAUGGAGAACAUGGUGGAGAAACAUCGAUGCAAACAUCUCUAAAAUCAACGCAUGUACGAAAUGGUGUACAAGGAGAAUGCAGUGAUAACGCGAGCAGCUGAGCAUUGCCGUCUCGCUCGCACGCGUGCGGUGCGUGUGUACGUGAGAAAGCGCACAGCAAAGGCAACAGCGAAAAAUUCCGGUUGUGAAAAAGGGAGAAAGAAAAAAGCGUUUGUUACAACCAGGGGCGUUAGAAAAGGGUUGUGCCAAUGUAGACAAAUAAAUAGCAAAACGGUA
This is a long non-coding RNA of Drosophila simulans, 2437 nucleotides long. RefSeq lists it as uncharacterized. The record is from RefSeq and is a predicted model, not a curated record. The transcript is spliced from 13 exons. NCBI's taxonomy places the organism in Eukaryota, Metazoa, Arthropoda, Insecta, Diptera, Drosophilidae.